CCAUCAUUUGUUAUGGGGGGAUAGCACGGGGAACUCGUAUUAAUACCGCAUACGACCUACGGGAGAAAGGGGGCAGUUUACUGCUCUCGCUAUUAGAUGAGCCUAAGUCGGAUUAGCUAGAUGGUGGGGUAAAGGCCUACCAUGGCGACGAUCUGUAGCUGGUCUGAGAGGAUGAUCAGCCACACCGGGACUGAGACACGGCCCGGACUCCUACGGGAGGCAGCAGUGGGGAAUAUUGGACAAUGGGGGAAACCCUGAUCCAGCCAUGCCGCGUGUGUGAAGAAGGCCUUUUGGUUGUAAAGCACUUUAAGCAGUGAAGAAGACUCCAUGGUUAAUACCCAUGGACGAUGACAUUAGCUGCAGAAUAAGCACCGGCUAACUCUGUGCCAGCAGCCGCGGUAAUACAGAGGGUGCAAGCGUUAAUCGGAAUUACUGGGCGUAAAGGGAGCGUAGGUGGCUCUAUAAGUCAGAUGUGAAAUCCCCGGGCUUAACCUAGGAACUGCAUCUGAAACUGUAGAGCUAGAGUAUGUGAGAAGGAAGGUAGAAAUUCCAGGUGUA
RNAcentral lists this ribosomal RNA (558 nucleotides) under uncultured Psychrobacter sp. RNAcentral's name for it is "bacterial SSU rRNA". It matches the Rfam family "Bacterial small subunit ribosomal RNA", at positions 122 to 677 of the family's 1533-position model. The record is from RNAcentral. Lineage: Bacteria; Pseudomonadati; Pseudomonadota; Gammaproteobacteria; Moraxellales; Moraxellaceae.